GACAGAGGGGGCAAGCGUUGUUCGGAAUUACUGGGCGUAAAGGGCUCGUAGGCGGCCAACUAAGUCGGACGUGAAAUCCCCAGGCUCAACCUGGGAACUGCGUCCGAUACUGGAUGGCUUGAAUUCGGGAGAGGGAUGCAGAAUUCCAGGUGUAGCGGUGAAAUGCGUAGAUAUCUGGAGGAAUACCGGUGGCGAAGGCGGCAUCCUGGACCGGCAUUGACGCUGAGACACGAAAGCCAGGGGAGCAAACGGG
This 253-nucleotide ribosomal RNA is filed under the name uncultured bacterium. RNAcentral describes it as "partial 16S ribosomal RNA". It matches the Rfam family "Bacterial small subunit ribosomal RNA", at positions 524 to 776 of the family's 1533-position model. The record is from RNAcentral.